Molecule: long non-coding RNA, 557 nt
Organism: Humulus lupulus (European hop)
Lineage: Eukaryota; Viridiplantae; Streptophyta; Magnoliopsida; Rosales; Cannabaceae
Exons: 3
Source: RefSeq, a predicted model, not a curated record
UAACCCCCAAAUCCGACCACUCUCCCUCCCUCAUUCACUCUCAUCUGAUUUUUGAAGACUCUCUCAAGUGUUCUCUCCAUUUGCAACCCCAAGAACACCAAAGAAACUUGGAAGCUAAGUCUUGGUCUAGGAAGGGUUUUCCCUAAGUUUGUUAGGGUUUUUGAAAGGUUUUGAAGGAGUCAAAGCUUAUAGGAAGGUCCAAACCUUAAGCAAGAACACCAAAGAGUAUUGGCUAAGCGUAACUGGACUGAACGUUGGAGGGUGAAAACUUGCUGAGCGCUAAGGACUCCAAGUAAGAGCAAGGGCAAGGCAGAGCAGUGAGCGCUGGAGUCUUCCUUGCAAAUGUACAUGUGGACCGACCUUUUGGGAAGCCUUUUUAUUUUUGGAAAUGUUGUGUAAUUUUCCUAAACUAGGCUCACUCUAAUCUUUGUAAAACAUGUUUGUAACUAAAUGUUAAGUAUGGCCAUACGACUUUUUAAAAAGUUUUUUUUUCUAUGGGUUUUUGAGACAUUUUGUUAAAUGAAAACAUUUAUAUUUCCGCAUUAUCGAGUCUUGAA